RNAcentral lists this ribosomal RNA (433 nucleotides) under uncultured bacterium. RNAcentral describes it as "partial 16S ribosomal RNA". It matches the Rfam family "Bacterial small subunit ribosomal RNA", at positions 29 to 507 of the family's 1533-position model. The record is from RNAcentral.
AACGAACGCUGGCGGCAUGCCUAACACAUGCAAGUCGAACGAGACCUUCGGGUCUAGUGGCGCACGGGUGCGUAACGCGUGGGAACCUUCCCUUAGGUUCGGAAUAACUCCCCGAAAGGGGUGCUAAUACCGGAUAAUGUCUUCGGACCAAAGAUUUAUCGCCUUUGGUUGGGCCUGCGUUGGAUUAGCUAGUUGGUAGGGUAAAAGCCUACCAAGGCGACGAUCCAUAGCUGGUCUGAGAGGAUGACCAGCCACACUGGGACUGAGACACGGCCCAGACUCCUACGGGAGGCAGCAGUGGGGAAUAUUGGACAAUGGGCGAAAGCCUGAUCCAGCAAUGCCGCGUGAGUGAUGAAGGCCUUAGGGUUGUAAAGCUCUUUUACACGGGAUGAUAAUGACAGUACCGGGAGAAUAAGCUCCGGCUAACUCCGUG